AGAAGUAUCACGUAUGACCAUAACCAACUGCAAACUCGGGAUCCCGUCCGCUCUCCCCUAGAUAAGCAGUUGAGGUGUUGUAUGUUUCAAAG
This 92-nucleotide ribosomal RNA is filed under the name Podospora comata. The record is from RNAcentral. Lineage: Eukaryota; Fungi; Ascomycota; Sordariomycetes; Sordariales; Podosporaceae.